RNAcentral lists this ribosomal RNA (499 nucleotides) under uncultured organism. RNAcentral's name for it is "SSU rRNA". It matches the Rfam family "Bacterial small subunit ribosomal RNA", at positions 31 to 509 of the family's 1533-position model. The record is from RNAcentral.
GAACGCUGGCGGCGUGCUUAAUACAUGCAAGUCGAACGGAUGACGGAAGAAAGCUUGCUUUCUUCCUGAUUCAGUGGCGAACGGGUGAGUAAUACGUAGGCAACCUGCCCCAAAGCGGGGGAUAGCAGUUGGAAACGACUAUUAAUACCGCAUAGGUAAUCGGGAGGCAUCUCCUGAUUAUUAAAGGUGCGUUUGCACCGCUGUGGGAUGGGCUUACGCUGCAUUAGCUAGUUGGUGAGGUAACGGCCCACCAAGGCGAUGAUGCAUAGCCGGUCUGAGAGGAUGAACGGCCACAUUGGGACUGAGACACGGCCCAGACUCCUACGGGAGGCAGCAGUAAGGAAUUUUCGGCAAUGGACGAAAGUCUGACCGAGCAACGCCGCGUGAGUGAUGAAGGCCUUCGGGUCGUAAAGCUCUGUGGUAAAGGAAGAACACCAUGUUUAGGAAAUGAUUCAUGGCUGACGGUACUUUACUAGAAAGUCACGGCUUACUACGUGCC